AAAAAGAUAAGCUAAAAUCUCAAGCUGACGGGCUCAUACCCCGUUUAUGGAAAGAUCCUCUUUUUA
RNAcentral lists this transfer RNA (66 nucleotides) under Stenopus hispidus (banded coral shrimp). Its description in RNAcentral is "tRNA-Met". The record is from RNAcentral. Lineage: Eukaryota; Metazoa; Arthropoda; Malacostraca; Decapoda; Stenopodidae.